GAAGGUACAGUUCAGUGGUAGAGUGCAUGCCUAGCAUGCAUGAGGUCCUGGGUUCAAUCCCCAGUACCUCCA
Molecule: transfer RNA, 72 nt
Filed under: Camelus bactrianus (Bactrian camel)
Lineage: Eukaryota; Metazoa; Chordata; Mammalia; Artiodactyla; Camelidae
Also listed under: 1 other name
Rfam family: tRNA
About the family: Transfer RNA (tRNA) molecules are approximately 80 nucleotides in length. Their secondary structure includes four short double-helical elements and three loops (D, anti-codon, and T loops). Further hydrogen bonds mediate the characteristic L-shaped molecular structure. tRNAs have two regions of fundamental functional importance: the anti-codon, which is responsible for specific mRNA codon recognition, and the 3' end, to which the tRNAs corresponding amino acid is attached (by aminoacyl-tRNA synthetases). tRNAs cope with the degeneracy of the genetic code in two manners: having more than one tRNA (with a specific anti-codon) for a particular amino acid; and 'wobble' base-pairing, i.e. permitting non-standard base-pairing at the 3rd anti-codon position.
Source: Rfam by way of RNAcentral